RNAcentral lists this ribosomal RNA (494 nucleotides) under uncultured bacterium. Its description in RNAcentral is "partial 16S ribosomal RNA". It matches the Rfam family "Bacterial small subunit ribosomal RNA", at positions 28 to 507 of the family's 1533-position model. The record is from RNAcentral.
GACGAACGCUGGCGGCGUGCUUAACACAUGCAAGUCGAACGGAAAGGCCUGCUUUCCCUUGUGGAUUGCGGGUACUCGAGUGGCGAACGGGUGAGUAACACGUGAGUGAUCUGCCCCCAACUUGGGUAUAAGCCUGGGAAACUGGGUCUAAUUCCCGAUAGGACUGCAGGGUGGUGCCUGUGGUGGAAAACGAUUUUCUAGUGGUUGGGGAUGAGCUCGCGGCCUAUCAGCUUGUUGGUGGGGUAAUGGCCUACCAAGGCGGCGACGGGUAGCCGGCCUGGGAGGGUGGACGGCCACAUUGGGACUGAGACACGGCCCAGACUCCUACGGGAGGCAGCAGUGGGGAAUAUUGCACAAUGGGCGGAAGCCUGAUGCAGCGACGCCGCGUGGGGGAUGACGGCCUUCGGGUUGUAAACUCCUUUCGACCGCGAGGAAGCCACCUGGUUGGAAGGGUGGUGACGGUAGUGGUAGAAGAAGCACCGGCUAACUACGUG